Molecule: long non-coding RNA, 3067 nt
Organism: Meriones unguiculatus (Mongolian gerbil)
Lineage: Eukaryota; Metazoa; Chordata; Mammalia; Rodentia; Muridae
Exons: 4
Source: RefSeq, a predicted model, not a curated record
GCAAGGAUGAGAUCAUCCCUGCCUCAUAAGAUUCAGAGUCCUGAGAAUGUUUAGAUGGCUUUCAACUUAUCACCCCUGAGGUGGCCAACAGUCGGGACUUUUGAGCUUCAGAUAAACUCCAGCCUUCCACAGUGGCACUGAGUUCUGGAAUCUUGUGAUUCAAUGUAGAAAACUUGGUUCCAGGUCCACACUCUUCCCGUCUCCCGCGACACCAGGCACGCGCAUGGGGCACAGACAUACACGAAGAGAGAGGCACCGUCAGAUAACAGCACCUCUGCAGCUGGACACAUCUGCCUGAAAUACCAAUUGCCAGCAGGAGUGAGGAGUAGCAACCAGCUGGCUAUUUUGAACACGGCUCUAGCGGCAAAGGAUCACGGCAGUGGUGACUCCUGCUCCGCAAGCUUUGCUGUAGUCAGAGCCACCUCAGGAAACUUGCACCAACUUCAGUGGACGUCCUUCGAAACAAGACAAUCCCAGGUGGACUUAAGGUGAUCGUGUUCACCUAGCAGCUCUUCUCAGCUCAGGACAGGAGGGCAGCACUUCCCCAAGGCCUCCGCAAAAAAGGCGGUGAUUGGUGAAAUGUACGGCUUCUGAUUGGCUCUCAAUCAAGGCUUGUGAUUGGCUCGCAGGCAAGGCUCGUGCCUGAUCCACCUGUAAGGCUUGUGAUUGGUGGAGUUGGAAGGUAGUCUUUAAAAGCGUGGCCAGUUUUAUACAUCCUGAUACAGAAAACUUAUAGGUUUGUUUGCUGUCCUAAUUUUAACAGUUAUCCGUGAUGCCCACACAUUUUGCACAAGCUUCUCUUAGCUGUGCUAUACAGUAUAGAACUUUAGGUGACGUAAUCAAUUCAAGCACGUUUCAGUCACUUUAUCCGCUCCCCGUAUGCUUCCUAAAGUGCUGUUGUUGAGUGUAAUUUCUUUGUCCGAUCAGUUAGGAGUAUUGCUUGAUUACAUAAUAUCUUGUCUUCAAACUGAUUGCAUGUUUGAUGUGUACUUUUAAGUUAGAGAAAAGGCAAAAAUAAAAUACCUGUUUGAAGAAUUAAAAAAAAAAAAAGAAAAAGAAAGUGGGGCUGUGAAUGAUGAAAUUAUAGUCUGUGUGCAAGCAUGCCAUGUUCUUCCCCAUACAGUUCCCAGCUUAGUCUGGGAGGCUUCUCUCCUGGGCACGAACCACCCUCCCACACCGGUGACACCUCCAUUGUCCCCCCCCCCCCUCCCCGCGCAGUUCUGCAAUAUCAGGUCUUAGAAAGGGCUUCCUCCGAGUGGUCUUUUGACUCCCUGUGGGUAAAACAGGCUGAACAUGAAGACUGACAAACACCGGGACUUUUCUAGCCACAGCGAUGGCGCAGAACUUCGCCCCCCCCCGCCCCCAAGAAUUCUAAGUCACCAGGGAUGAAAGGGCUUUAUAACAAAAGCUCAAAACUAUGAAACCAAGAGGAAGCUAAGAGUCCCAGAAAGCCAGUGUGAGCUAAGUGUUGGGAUGCCCGCAGCCCUGAGCCGCAGCAGACUCUGAAAACCAUGUCUCUGAAGGACCUUGGAUGUGCUGAGAAGGUAAGAGACAAUGGAGAAGCCGAGGUUACGGAAGAUGAGGGGCUGUGAGGAGCUGAAGGGAGGAGCCGAGGCUAUGAGGGUUGCAAGCCCCAGAUGCCAGAAGAGUUUGAGAGAGCUGCGGAGGGCUAAAGAGCUGGGAGUCCCCUAUGCCUAAAGCUCAGGGCUCUGCUGAUUGCUGUCAAGUGUUAGUACUCGGAGCAGCGAACCUGUGCCUUGAGCACCUGCAGCGAUCAACCUCCAGCUUGGAAAGCGUGGAGCUGUAAACCUCUCAUCCCUGAGGCUUAGAGCCUUAAGCCUCUGGAUUUGGGAGCUUAGCUGUGAGACUCUGGAACUCAGGCCCUUCAACAUUUAGGGAGCUGCUCCUUGGCUAUUUUUGAUAUCUCUCCAGAUUGGUUGAAAGAAUGCCCAGGCAGCCAUCUGCCACAGCUUCUUCAUGUGACUGUGGGUCAGCACUGAUGGAGACCUUCCCCACGUUCUUGCAUGUUUAUCUGUUUAUCCCCAUCCCUGAAUUCUGACCUGGGCUGUUUGAUAUCGUGAAUGGAGGGAGGUUUGGUGGCCCUUCUUCUUAGAUGAACACCUGGAAACUUGCUCCGUCACAGCCUGAGGAAGCUGCCACGCCUCUGCCUGUCCCUCAGGAUUCAGACCUGAGCUGCUUGCUGCUAAAAGUCUGAAAACUUGCUUCAUGCAUUUUGCCUGGAGUUUUAGCUGUUUCAGGUGAGAGUGUACAUCUAGUCCCUGUUACUCCAUCUUGGCCAGGAUUAGAAGUCCUGGUGCUAUUUUAAGUGAUAUUAAAGUUUUAAAAUUCCAAUUAUUCAAUUACAGUAAAAACAAGAGAUUUUGACAUUUGACCUUGUACUGUGCAAUCUUGGUGGCAGAUUCCUUAGGAGUUUCUACAAGUACAGCCGUGCUGUGAGUGCAGGGAGUUCAGUUCUUCCAGUCCCUUUGGGUCUCUGCCACCCUUUCUGUCUCUUUCCCUCCUAACUGUUCUAGGGACUUUAUGCAGUGUUGAACAGAAGUGUAAGGAAAGGGCUUUCCUGCCUUGUUCUUGCUGUUAAAAUGGAGAGUAUUCAGUCCCUAACCAUUGUGUGUGGUGUGACCACUAGGCCUUAGCAUGUUAGACGACUAACAUGAAUAGUCGUCAAUUUUUUUAAAAUCAAAUUUCCUGCAUCUGUUCAGAUAAUCACAUGAUUUGUCUCCUUCAUUCUCUUGACGAAGCAAACCUUGGUGAUUAUUUGACUAAAUAUUGUACUCUUGAGAAACUCUACUUAAUCAGAAUAAAUUCUUUCAAAGGCCUCCUUUUAUAUAUUUCUUCUUCUAGUUAAUGUUUUAUUAGGGAUAUUGUAUCAAUAUUCCUGGGAGUACUGAAUCAGUUUUGCUUUCUGUUAUGAGUUUGUUAGGUUCUAACAGCAGUGUAAGACCACUAACUAACUAACUAAAUGACCUCUUCCUCUGCUGUAAGACGUAGAAUUCAUCAAUGAAGCUGUUUGACUUAGAGAUUUUUGUGUGGAAAAAUUUUUGUUUUG